Molecule: ribosomal RNA, 402 nt
Filed under: Proteiniclasticum sp. enrichment culture
Lineage: Bacteria; Bacillati; Bacillota; Clostridia; Eubacteriales; Clostridiaceae
Description: bacterial SSU rRNA
Rfam family: Bacterial small subunit ribosomal RNA
Source: RNAcentral
UGGGGAAUAUUGCGCAAUGGGCGAAAGCCUGAUGCAGCAACGCCGCGUGAGUGAUGAAGGCCUUCGGGUCGUAAAGCUCUUUGAUCAGGGAUGAUAAUGACAGUACCUGAAAAACAAGCCACGGCUAACUACGUGCCAGCAGCCGCGGUAAUACGUAGGUGGCGAGCGUUGUCCGGAAUUACUGGGCGUAAAGGAUGCGUAGGUGGAUACUUAAGUGGGAUGUGAAAUCCCCGGGCUCAACCCGGGAACUGCAUUCCAAACUGGGUAUCUAGAGUGCAGGAGAGGAAAGCGGAAUUCCUAGUGUAGCGGUGAAAUGCGUAGAUAUUAGGAGGAACACCAGUGGCGAAGGCGGCUUUCUGGACUGUAACUGACACUGAGGCAUGAAAGCGUGGGUAGCAAACA